UACGUAGGGGGCAAGCGUUGUGCCGGAAUUUAUUGGGCGUAAAGGAAGCGUGUAGGCGGUCAGGGUAAGGUCCGUUUGUGAAAAACUCGAGGCUCAAACCUCGAGACGCCGAUGGAAACCAUCUGAACUAGAGUCCGGAAGAGGAGAGUGGAAUUCCUGGUGUAAGCGGUGAAAUGCGCAGAUAUCAGGAAGAACCACCCGGUGGCUAAGGCGGCUCUCUAGUACGGUACUGGACGCUGAGACGGCGAAAGCGUGGGGAGCGAACAGG
This 268-nucleotide ribosomal RNA is filed under the name uncultured bacterium. RNAcentral's name for it is "partial 16S ribosomal RNA". It matches the Rfam family "Bacterial small subunit ribosomal RNA", at positions 524 to 776 of the family's 1533-position model. The record is from RNAcentral.